GAUGAACGCUGGCGGCGUGCCUAAUACAUGCAAGUCGAGCGAACGGACGAGAAGUUUGCUUCUCUGAUGUUAGCGGCGGACGGGUGAGUAACACGUGGAUAACCUACCUAUAAGACUGGGAUAACUUCGGGAAACCGGAGCUAAUACCGGAUGAUAUUUUGAACCGCAUGGUUCAAAAGUGAAAGACGGUCUUGCUGUCACUUAUAGAUGGAUCCGCGCUGCAUUAGCUAGUUGGUAAGGUAACGGCUUACCAAGGCAACGAUGCAUAGCCGACCUGAGAGGGUGAUCGGCCACACUGGAACUGAGACACGGUCCAGACUCCUACGGGAGGCAGCAGUAGGGAAUCUUCCGCAAUGGGCGAAAGCCUGACGGAGCAACGCCGCGUGAGUGAUGAAGGUCUUCGGAUCGAAAAACUCUGUUAUUAGGGAAGAACAUAUGUGUAAGUAACUGUGCACAUCUUGACGGUACCUAAUCAGAAAGCCACGGCUAACUACGUG
This 497-nucleotide ribosomal RNA is filed under the name uncultured bacterium. RNAcentral describes it as "partial 16S ribosomal RNA". It matches the Rfam family "Bacterial small subunit ribosomal RNA", at positions 28 to 507 of the family's 1533-position model. The record is from RNAcentral.